UGGCGGUUGACGGCAACGUUAGGGAG
Molecule: non-coding RNA, 26 nt
Filed under: Arabidopsis thaliana (thale cress)
Lineage: Eukaryota; Viridiplantae; Streptophyta; Magnoliopsida; Brassicales; Brassicaceae
Source: RNAcentral